This 537-nucleotide transfer RNA is filed under the name uncultured cyanobacterium. RNAcentral describes it as "partial contains 16S ribosomal RNA, 16S-23S ribosomal RNA intergenic spacer, and 23S ribosomal RNA". The stretch from base 209 to 281 matches the Rfam family "tRNA". The record is from RNAcentral. Lineage: Bacteria; Bacillati; Cyanobacteriota.
CAGGGAGACAACAAAAUGUUUAAUAUUAUUUUGUCACCUUAGGUCGAUCGGUAUCUCACGGUCUUAAAUAAUUAAGAAUUUCAUUUCCUAAGUUUUUCUAGGUCACACCCAUUAUUUUUCCUGGGCCAUUAGCUCAGGUGGUUAGAGCGCACCCCUGAUAAGGGUGAGGUCCCUGGUUCAAGUCCAGGAUGGCCCAUAUCUCUAUGUUGGGGGUAUAGCUCAGUCGGUAGAGCGCCUGCUUUGCAAGCAGGAUGUCAGCGGUUCGAGUCCGCUUACCUCCACUGAUUACCACCUCUACCAUAUCUCGGAUAAAGGAAAUUUUUUGUGUUGUGAUCAAAUUCUGAACGAAUCUAGCUUCCUAAUGAAAUCAUUAAGAUGCUGGACUCAUUGAAUUAAUUUCAUUGUUUUCAGAGAACCUUGACAACUGCAUAGAUUAUUUUUAAAGACAAUAAGCAUCUUUAAUGAUGCAGAUUUAUUAUUUGUGCGAAUGCAUUAAUAACAAUUCUAUUAAGCUGAUGCUUCAAUUUUGAAGUUAUU